RNAcentral lists this long non-coding RNA (200 nucleotides) under Capsicum annuum. RNAcentral's name for it is "long non-coding RNA (CANN_LNC021485)". The record is from RNAcentral. Lineage: Eukaryota; Viridiplantae; Streptophyta; Magnoliopsida; Solanales; Solanaceae.
GGUAGAGGGUUAGGGGGUGGGAGUGCGUCGAUAAUAGUAUGGGAGCGCUCCUCUGUGUCUGGAGUUUCUUGUUCGUGGCUAGCAGUGGUAGUUUAUUUUGCAUACCGUACUAGUUUAUAUGCACUUAUCUUUUGUAUUUGUUAUACUGUUAGUUUGUCUUGGGUACCAUACUAGUUUAUAUGCACUUAUCUUUUAUUUUU